UUACAUAGAAAUUUCUAUGCAUUACCUCUUUAUAUAAUGCAAUUUUUUCCACUUAUGCCACCUCUAUUUCCAUUUUAUCCUUCUAAAUAAAAUAAUACUCCCUCCAUCUGCCAAAAGUGGGGCACAAUUACAAUAUCGGGCGUUCGCAAAGAGUGUAAUAGUUUUCUUUUAAAGAAAUGGUUCCACCACCAAUUUAAUCUUUUAUCCUUACAAACACUCUUUAUUUACAAAAAAAUCCACCACAAAUUCAAUCUCAACCACAUAUCUCAUAAAGUGGUGGGACCCUUCUCAACUACAUCAAAAUCAUGACAAAUUUUAUUAUAUUUGGAUUGGGUGCAGCUAAGAGGAUUCUUGGAAUGGAUAUAAGGAGAAACAGAGCUGCUGGGGUUAUUUGGCUUGGGCAGGAAAUUAUAUUCAUAAGGUUUUAAGGAAGUUCAACUUACAUGAAGCUAAGGUUUUGUCUGUUCCUUUAGCUCAGAAUGAUAAGUUGUCUGAUAAACAAUAGCCCUCAAAGUUUGAAUGAGCAGAGAGAUAUGAUGGAUGUUCCAUAUUCAAACUUAGUUGGGAGCUUGAUGUACACAAUGGUGUGUACUCGCCUAUAUAGCACAUGUUAUUAGUGUUACUAGUAGAUAUAUGUCAAAGCCUGGAAGAGAUCACUGGGAAGCACUUAAGAAGGUGUUAAGGUAUCUCAAGGGCAGUGAAAUAGAUGAAUUCUAUUUCAAAGGAGUUCAGGAAGUUCAGAUUCUGUUUGGAAGGUUUUUGUGACUCUGAUUAUGCGCAAAUUCAGAUAAUAGAAGAUCUCAGUCUGGGUAUGUUUCACUCUAUUUGGUUCAGCUUAAGCUGGAAGUCCUCUCUUCAACAUGUUGUAGCACUCUCUACAACAGAAGCUGAGUACAUGGCCAUUACUGAGGCAGUUAAGGAGGCUAUUUGGCUUAAAGGUUUUGUCAGAUUUUGAUAUAAAUCAAGAUUGUGUAGAUAUUAAAUGUGAUAGUCAGAGUGCUCUUUGUUUGGUGAAACACCAGACAUUCCAUGAAAGAUCCAAACAUAUCGAUGUCAGGUUGCACUUUGUGAGGGAUAUCAUUGAAAAGGGAGUUGUUCGAAUGAAGAAAGUGUCUACAGAUAACAAUGCUGCUGAUAUGCUAACUAAGGCUAUUUCUGUCUCUAAGUUUGUUUACUGCAUGAGUCUUAUCAAGCUGGUUUCACAAGCUUGAUGGUUGUUUUGGGAAAUUUUGUAGUUAUCUGUGUUUGUGAUGGUGCUGGUGAUCAAAGUUUGCUUUCGGAGGUAUGUCUUUGAGCUUGGUUAUUCAUUGGUGUGGAUUGAAGACUUUGAGAAUAAGGUGGAGAAUUAUUAUUUGUUUAUUCUCAAAGUCGUGCUUCUCUUUUAAUUGGAGGAAACGCGUUGCUGCGGAAGGGUUGAUGUGCAAAGUUCAGAAACACGGAGGGACUUAUCUGCAAUACUUAUUAGUUGCUGGGUUUUAAUCUCGUCCGUUGAUUUUGAUGAACGGCUCUGAUCAGAUCAGACUGAAGUUGGUUUUAACUAACUUCAUCGUCUUCAUUCUGCAAGUGAAAGGAGUUGCAGAAUCUUGAGCGCAGCUGAGAGUGUUUCUUUCUGUUUUGGGGUGUGUGAUUUCUGUACGGGUUGUAGUCUAGAUCUCUGGGUUCUCUCUUCAAAGUUUGUGAGAGGUUUUAUUGAGUGUUGAUUACUUUGGUGUACUGAAAUUUAUCCUUUGAUAGUGAAUAAAGUCGAGCUCGAUUUCUUGGCCCGUGGAUGUAGGGAUUUAUCCCGAACCACGUAAAUAGCUGUGUUCGUGUGUAUUUUGUUUGAGUUCUUAGUUGAUUUCACAACACGUCCGAUUAACAUUACCAACGGCGGUGGCCUUGCCGCUAAUUAGCGACGGCCUCUACCGUCGGUAUUUCUCCGGCAAUUCUCCGCCGUUCAAUGGCGAAAAGAUAAGAGGUUCUAAUUAAACUUAUCUUAAUUAAUUAUUUAUUUUUCUACUUUAUUACCUACACACUUAAAACAUUAAUCUCCAACUCCUUAAUUCCCGUGCUGAAAAGAAGUGACUCAAAAUUCGUGGGACGAAGGGAGUAUUAUUUAAUGAUACAUAAAGUGAUCACAAAUGUUUAGUAAUUAUCCAAUAAACGUAACUAAAAUAUUAAUAUUGAUAAUAUUUAUAAUUAUACAUGGACUUUUAAAAUAUUUAUUUUUCUUUUAUGAACAUUUAGCUAGCAUGUGUAAGAGAAAUUUUGAACAUUUAAUAUUAAUUAAAUCACUAUAAUUGUGUAACAAUUAUAAUCCCAUCAAAAUGGUUUUAACAUAAUCAUAGCGUUAUAAUUUAUUGUAUUAUUUCAUUUUUACUUCUUAAAUAUUUACACACACACAUACAUAAUAUGACCACAUUCUUUUUGAAUGGUAUAUAAUAACAUAUUAAUUUUCGUCUAAAAUGAUAUGUUCAGUAAAUAUAAAUAAAUAUUCAGGAAACAUAAAUAAAAAAUUACUAAAAUAUUGAUAUUGACAAAAUUUAUGAUUAUACAUGGACUUAUAACAUAUUUAUUAAUUUAUUCUUUCUUGAACAUUUAUUCAACAUAUUUAAAAUAUAUAUAAAAAUAUGAUACCUUUAUAAAUCGGUUACAUAGAAAUUUCUAUGCAUUACCUCUUUGUAAUGCAAUUUUUUCCAAUUAAAAGACAAGAAAAUUGAACAUUCUUCUUUUUCCCGUUUCACAUGAUACUUCAACUUGUAUUUGCUUUUUAUCAUUCUAAAUAAAAUAAUACUAUACUCCAUUCGUCUCACAAAAACAUGAAUAUUUUGCCAUUUUGAGGCGUCUCACAAAAACAUGAACAUUUCUAUUUUUAUACACUACCCCACCACAAUUCCUUUACUUUUAAUUAUGUAUAGUUUUUAUAAAGUGGGCCUUUUUUUCCACUCAUAAUAUAAUUUUAUCUAAUAUUUCUUAAAAUUCGUGUCACUUACAAAUGUUCAUAUUUUUGUGGGACGGAUGAAGUAAUAAUUAAAGUAUAAGUUUAUCACAUUUUAUGUUUGAAUGCAGUGAAACCCUUUUCCAACGGUGCCUCUGCUACAGCUAAUAUUUGGAGCAAUGAGGACAAAACUCAGCAGAUGUAGUGGAUACUGUUCAUCCGUUACGUGACUUUUAUUUUCUCUCUCUCUUAUUUCUUCCUUGUAUUUUAUGAUUUAUCAAAAAUAUUUAAAUAUGAUUGAGCAUAAAUAUAUAGGAUACUAUAAUAAUUAAAUGACAUAAUUAUUUAAUGAUAGAAAGCAUAAAAAUAGAAUAUUCUAUUGAGUUCAAUGUAGAAUUGAUUGUAAGUCUUUGUGCUUUAUAAAUUAGUUACAUGAGACAAGAAGAUUGUACAUUCUUCCUUUUCCCGUUUUCACACAACACUUCAACGUGUGGAAAAAAAUUUAUAAAACAAUAUAUCUAUCUUUGGUCAUCGUUAAUCACCACAAAAUCUUCCUCUCCAAAUAAGCCGAGAGUUGGGAGAAAGAUAAUUACAUAUUUAGAAGUUGACAUUGAUGAAAUUCUAAAAAUAGAGAUAAAUGAGAAAGAAUAUUUUUUUUAACACUUAAAGUAUCAAAAUGAUAUUAUUUUGAUGUUUAAGUUGAAAAAAAAAAAGUUUUAAGAAAUAGUUCAUGUUAGACUCUGAUGAGAUGAGUAUCUCUUCGUCACCAAAUAUUUUAUAUAAAAAAAGAUAAAUAUUUAAAGAAUUUUUAAGAGAAAACAAAAUUUAGAGACACAAAACACUUAUAAUACUUAUUUUUAUAUAUAAAAAGUGAUUGUUAACCGAACUAUACUUGUACUCAUUAAAUUUAUAACUUUAAUAGUUAUAUAUUUAUGCUUACAAAGUUUAUCUAUUGGUGCUAUGGUUAAAGUAUCAUUUUGACUUUAAAGGUGUGAAGAAUAAUCAUGCAUGCUUCAAUCCAUAUACCGCGAUAUGAAAAUGUAAACACUAGACACAAAUUACUGAUCUUCACCAGCAAAUGGUGUAAGCUACAAAUA
Molecule: long non-coding RNA, 4014 nt
Filed under: Salvia miltiorrhiza (redroot sage)
Lineage: Eukaryota; Viridiplantae; Streptophyta; Magnoliopsida; Lamiales; Lamiaceae
Description: long non-coding RNA (SMIL_LNC007426)
Source: RNAcentral